AUUGAACGCUGGCGGCAGGCUUAACACAUGCAAGUCGAACGGUAACAGGAAGGAAGCUUGCUUUCUUUGCUGACGAGUGGCGGACGGGUGAGUAAUGCUUGGGAAUCUGCCUUAUGGAGGGGGAUAACUACGGGAAACUGUAGCUAAUACCGCGUAAUAUCUACGGAUUAAAGUGUGGGACCUUCGGGCCACAUGCCAUAAGAUGAGCCCAAGUGAGAUUAGGUAGUUGGUGAGGUAAAGGCUCACCAAGCUGACGAUCUCUAGCUGGUUUGAGAGGAUGACCAGCCACACUGGAACUGAGACACGGUCCAGACUCCUACGGGAGGCAGCAGUGGGGAAUAUUGCACAAUGGGCGCAAGCCUGAUGCAGCCAUGCCGCGUGAAUGAAGAAGGCUUUCGGGUUGUAAAGUUCUUUCAGCGAUGAGGAAGGUUGUAUAUCUAAUAGGUAUGCAAAUUGACGUUAGUCGCAGAAGAAGCACCGGCUAACUCCGUGCCAGCAGCCGCGGUAAUACGGAGGGUGCGAGCGUUAAUCGGAAUAACUGGGCGUAAAGGGCACGCAGGCGGUUGUCUAAGUCAGAUGUGAAAGCCCCGAGCUUAACUUGGGAAUUGCAUUUGAGACUGGGCGACUAGAGUCCUCUAGGGAGGGGUAGAAUUCCACGUGUAGCGGUGAAAUGCGUAGAGAUGUGGAGGAAUACCGAAGGCGAAGGCAGCCCCUUGGAGAGAGACUGACGCUGAGGUGCGAAAGCGUGGGUAGCAAACAGG
RNAcentral lists this ribosomal RNA (761 nucleotides) under uncultured bacterium. RNAcentral's name for it is "bacterial SSU rRNA". It matches the Rfam family "Bacterial small subunit ribosomal RNA", at positions 28 to 776 of the family's 1533-position model. The record is from RNAcentral.